CAGUCGAGCGAGCGGAACCACAGAUUUACUUCGGUAAUGACGUUGGGAAAGCGAGCGGCGGAUGGGUGAGUAACACGUGAGGAACCUGCCCCUAAGUCUGGGAUACCAUUUGGAAACAGGUGCUAAUACCGGAUAAUAAAGCAGAUCGCAUGAUCAGCUUUUGAAAGGCGGCGUAAGCUGUCGCUAAGGGAUGGCCCCGCGGUGCAUUAGCUAGUUGGUAAGGUAACGGCUUACCAAGGCGACGAUGCAUAGCCGAGUUGAGAGACUGAUCGGCCACAUUGGGACUGAGACACGGCCCAAACUCCUACGGGAGGCAGCAGUAGGGAAUCUUCCACAAUGGACGCAAGUCUGAUGGAGCAACGCCGCGUGAGUGAAGAAGGUUUUCGGAUCGUAAAGCUCUGUUGUUGGUGAAGAAGGAUAGAGGUAGUAACUGGCCUUUAUUUGACGGUAAUCAACCAGAAAGUCACGGCUAACUACGUGCCAGCAGCCGCGGUAAUACGUAGGUGGCAAGCGUUGUCCGGAUUUAUUGGGCGUAAAGCGAGCGCAGGCGGAAAAAUAAGUCUAAUGUGAAAGCCCUCGGCUUAACCGAGGAACUGCAUCGGAAACUGUUUUUCUUGAGUGCAGAAGAGGAGAGUGGAACUCCAUGUGUAGCGGUGGAAUGCGUAGAUAUAUGGAAGAACACCAGUGGCGAAGGCGGCUCUCUGGUCUGCAACUGACGCUGAGGCUCGAAAGCAUGGGUAGCGAACAGGAUUAGAUACCCUGGUAGUCCAUGCCGUANACGAUGAGUGCUAAGUGUUGGGAGGUUUCCGCCUCUCAGUGCUGCAGCUAACGCAUUAA
Molecule: ribosomal RNA, 837 nt
Filed under: uncultured bacterium
Lineage: Bacteria
Description: bacterial SSU rRNA
Rfam family: Bacterial small subunit ribosomal RNA
Source: RNAcentral